GACGAACGCUGGCGGCGUGCCUAAUACAUGCAAGUCGAACGCUUCUUUCCUCCCGAGUGCUUGCACUCAAUUGGAAAGAGGAGUGGCGGACGGGUGAGUAACACGUGGGUAACCUACCCAUCAGAGGGGGAUAACACUUGGAAACAGGUGCUAAUACCGCAUAACAGUUUAUGCCGCAUGGCAUAAGAGUGAAAGGCGCUUUCGGGUGUCGCUGAUGGAUGGACCCGCGGUGCAUUAGCUAGUUGGUGAGGUAACGGCUCACCAAGGCCACGAUGCAUAGACGAACUGAGAGGGUGAUAGGCCACACUGGGACUGAGACACGGCCCAGACUCCUACGGGAGGCAGCAGUAGGGAAUCUUCGGCAAUGGACGAAAGUCUGACCGAGCAACGCCGCGUGAGUGAAGAAGGUUUUCGGAUCGUAAAACUCUGUUGUUAGAGAAGAACAAGGACGUUAGUAACUGAACGUCCCCUGACGGUAUCUAACCAGAAAGCCACGGCUAACUACGUG
Molecule: ribosomal RNA, 508 nt
Filed under: uncultured bacterium
Lineage: Bacteria
Description: partial 16S ribosomal RNA
Rfam family: Bacterial small subunit ribosomal RNA
Source: RNAcentral